GAAGAGGUAAAGAUACUCAACUCAACUAAAUCCAAGUCCCAAACUAGUCAUUUAUCUUCGCGGUUGAAGUUGGUCCUUGUUGUAGGUUUCGUCCGGUUCAGUUCUUUCUCUGAAGUCCAUUGCUUAUUCGAACCUUCCAAAUAUGUUCUACUGAUGUAUAACACGACGACGGGUGACUGCAACUUCAAAGUGGUAUUAAAACUGCUAUGAACACAUGAUUUCUCUUUCAUGUUUCCUUUCUUGAUAUACACAUGACAUAUGAGUUUGGUAUAUACCAUUACAACAAACUCAAUGUUAUUCUCUCUGUACUAUCGCUGCUAUAUUAUAUCAUAGACUAUCUCUGUUGCUAACCUUGUAUUAUCACAUUGUUUUUUCGGCUUAAACUGCUAUAGACUAUCCACAUUUAUUGUUCCGGAUUAACAUAUUGAUCAUCUUGCCCUAGUAUCACGAGUACAUAUAUGAAAGUAUACAAGUUAUGUGAAAUUUCUCAGUCAAGAAUCACAGAAAUGGUGAAUGCUUUUUAAGUUCCGCACAAUUCUUUCUUGGAUGGAGACAAUGGUGGGUGUGGGAGCCCAUCCUUCCCUAUCAGCAGCUCAAAAGAAAAACUGGACCAGAUAAGGUUACGAAGGGCCCUCAGUCUUUUAGACGUUUGGCUGGAAAGGCACAAGGAAAGCUUCUCUCUUGGGACCGAAUUGUAACUAACCUGGAAUUCUUCAUCACUAAAGAAGCAAAAGGCAUUCUGCUUAUUGGAAGCAAAGUUGACUUCAAAACCAUGUAGUCUGAUUUAUAGAUUGUUCAAAGUAAUCUAAUUGAUUGAAGAAAAUAUUAACAUA
Molecule: long non-coding RNA, 833 nt
Organism: Ricinus communis (castor bean)
Lineage: Eukaryota; Viridiplantae; Streptophyta; Magnoliopsida; Malpighiales; Euphorbiaceae
Exons: 3
Source: RefSeq, a predicted model, not a curated record